This 253-nucleotide ribosomal RNA is filed under the name uncultured bacterium. RNAcentral's name for it is "partial 16S ribosomal RNA". It matches the Rfam family "Bacterial small subunit ribosomal RNA", at positions 524 to 776 of the family's 1533-position model. The record is from RNAcentral.
CACGUAGGGUGCGAGCGUUGUCCGGAAUUAUUGGGCGUAAAGAGCGUGUAGGCGGCUUUACAGGUCCGUUGUGAAAACUCGAGGCCCAACCUCGAGACGCCGGUGGAAACCGUAAAGCUAGAGUCCGGAAGAGGAGAGUGGAAUUCCUGGUGUAGCGGUGAAAUGCGCAGAUAUCAGGAGGAACACCCGUGGCGAAAGCGGCUCUCUGGGACGGUACUGACGCUGAGACGCGAAAGCGUGGGGAGCAAACAGG